UCCCUGGUGGCUCAGAGGGUAAAGCGUCUGCCUGCAGUGCAGGAGACCUGGGUUCAAUCCCUACCUUGGGAA
This 72-nucleotide transfer RNA is filed under the name Ovis aries (sheep). It matches the Rfam family "tRNA". Rfam says of the family: Transfer RNA (tRNA) molecules are approximately 80 nucleotides in length. Their secondary structure includes four short double-helical elements and three loops (D, anti-codon, and T loops). The record is from Rfam by way of RNAcentral. Lineage: Eukaryota; Metazoa; Chordata; Mammalia; Artiodactyla; Bovidae.